AUAAGGAUGCUGAAGAAAUCAUUCAGAUUCCCACUGAUGUACAUACAGUGAUUGCUACAACCAGCUACUUCUGACUUCC
Molecule: small nucleolar RNA, 79 nt
Filed under: Nicotiana sylvestris (wood tobacco)
Lineage: Eukaryota; Viridiplantae; Streptophyta; Magnoliopsida; Solanales; Solanaceae
Also listed under: 1 other name
Description: Small nucleolar RNA R12
Rfam family: Small nucleolar RNA R12
About the family: snoR12 is a C/D box small nucleolar RNA, which acts as a methylation guide for 25S ribosomal RNA in plants. snoR12 has been alternatively named snoZ44 in Arabidopsis and snoZ131 in rice.
Source: Rfam by way of RNAcentral